UCCCCGUUGCCGGGGCAGUUUUAGUAGAAAAAUACAACUACUAACAAGGGUUGCGCUCGUUAAUGGACUUAACCAAACAUCUCACGGCACGAGCUGACGACGGCCAUGCAACACCUGUCACUUGGUUCCAAAAGGCACACUCUACUUUCGUAGUGCUCCCAAGGAUGUCAAGCCCUGGUAAGGUUCUUCGUUUAUCAUCGAAUUAAAGAACAUGAUCCACCGCUUGUGCGGGUCCCCGUCAAUUCCUUUAUGUUUUAGUCUUGCGACCGUACUCCACAGGCGGGAUACUUAACGCGUUAGCUUCGCUACUGAAGGGGUCGAUACCUCCAACAGCUAGUAUCCAUCGUUUACGGCGUGGACUAC
RNAcentral lists this unclassified non-coding RNA (363 nucleotides) under uncultured bacterium. RNAcentral describes it as "contains 16S-23S intergenic spacer region". The record is from RNAcentral.